UAAUGCUCUUCCUUGCCGAAAGA
This 23-nucleotide microRNA is filed under the name Pristionchus pacificus. RNAcentral's name for it is "ppc-miR-8328-3p". Lineage: Eukaryota; Metazoa; Nematoda; Chromadorea; Rhabditida; Neodiplogasteridae. The record is from miRBase by way of RNAcentral.